UGGGGAAUAUUGGACAAUGGGCGAAAGCCUGAUCCAGCCAUGCCGCGUGUGUGAAGAAGGUCUUCGGAUUGUAAAGCACUUUAAGUUGGGAGGAAGGGCAGUAAGCGAAUACCUUGCUGCUUUGAUGUUACCGACAGAAUAAGCACCGGCUAACUCUGUGCCAGCAGCCGCGGUAAUACAGAGGGUGCAAGCGUUAAUCGGAAUUACUGGGCGUAAAGCGCGCGUAGGUGGUUCGUUAAGUUGAAUGUGAAAGCCCCGGGCUCAACCUGGGAACUGCAUCCCAAACUGGCGAGCUAGAGUAGGGCAGAGGGUGGUGGAAUUUCCUGUGUAGCUGUGAAAUGCGUAGAUAUAGGAAGGAACACCAGUGGCGAAGGCGACCACCUGGGCUCAUACUGACACUGAGGUGCGAAAGCGUGGGGAGCAAACAGG
This 429-nucleotide ribosomal RNA is filed under the name Pseudomonadota bacterium. RNAcentral describes it as "Proteobacteria bacterium partial 16S ribosomal RNA". It matches the Rfam family "Bacterial small subunit ribosomal RNA", at positions 355 to 776 of the family's 1533-position model. The record is from RNAcentral. Lineage: Bacteria; Pseudomonadati; Pseudomonadota.